UGAUCAUCAGACUUCUAUCUAGACCUGGAAGAUGCUUCCAGGGAAAAGCUGGCUCUUCACUGAGCCACCUUCAUUGCCACUGUUCAUUUUGGAAUCAAUUAGAUUUUUUUUUUCAAUUACACUUCAAGAAGAACUGAUUUCACCACCUGGGUUACAGGCUUAAGCAACUGAAAUCUUAUUGGAUUAUUUUAUAAUCCAGAAGAGCAUGUAGACUCAUCUUUUCAGUAAUGUUGUCAGUGAAGAAGCGGAAACUUCAGGAAAGGUUCUCUUAGGGUGUAAAAGAAGGAGCCAGCUGCAGUGGGACCAAGUCUAUAUGAUGGGCAAGAAGCAAGACCGUAUUUCUGUUUCUAAAUUUAAGCCUGG
Molecule: long non-coding RNA, 363 nt
Organism: Orcinus orca (killer whale)
Lineage: Eukaryota; Metazoa; Chordata; Mammalia; Artiodactyla; Delphinidae
Exons: 3
Source: RefSeq, a predicted model, not a curated record